UACGUAGGACCCAAGCGUUAUCCGGAGUGACUGGGCGUAAAGAGUUGCGUAGGUGGUCCGUAAAGCAAAUAGUGAAAUCUGGUGGCUCAACCAUUCAGGCUAUUAUUUGAACUCACGGACUCGAGAACAGCAGAGGUAACUGGAAUUUCUGAAGUAGGGGUAAUAUCCGUAGAUAUCAGAAGGAACACCAAUGGCGUAGGCAGGUUACUGGGCUGUUUCUGACACUGAGGCACGAAAGCGUGGGGAGCGAACCGG
Molecule: ribosomal RNA, 255 nt
Filed under: uncultured bacterium
Lineage: Bacteria
Description: partial 16S ribosomal RNA
Rfam family: Bacterial small subunit ribosomal RNA
Source: RNAcentral